AGGUUUCCGUAGGUGAACCUGCGGAAGGAUCAUUACCGAGUGUAGGGUUCCUAGCGAGCCCAACCUCCCACCCGUGUUUACUGUACCUUAGUUGCUUCGGCGGGCCCGCCAUUCAUGGCCGCCGGGGGCUCUCAGCCCCGGGCCCGCGCCCGCCGGAGACACCACGAACUCUGUCUGAUCUAGUGAAGUCUGAGUUGAUUGUAUCGCAAUCAGUUAAAACUUUCAACAAUGGAUCUCUUGGUUCCGGCAUCGAUGAAGAACGCAGCGAAAUGCGAUAACUAGUGUGAAUUGCAGAAUUCCGUGAAUCAUCGAGUCUUUGAACGCACAUUGCGCCCCCUGGUAUUCCGGGGGGCAUGCCUGUCCGAGCGUCAUUGCUGCCCAUCAAGCACGGCUUGUGUGUUGGGUCGUCGUCCCCUCUCCGGGGGGGACGGGCCCCAAAGGCAGCGGCGGCACCGCGUCCGAUCCUCGAGCGUAUGGGGCUUUGUCACCCGCUCUGUAGGCCCGGCCGGCGCUUGCCGAACGCAAAUCAAUCUUUUUCCAGGUUGACCUCGGAUCAGGUAGGGAUACCCGCUGAACUUAAGCAUAUC
This 587-nucleotide ribosomal RNA is filed under the name Aspergillus flavus. RNAcentral's name for it is "eukaryotic LSU rRNA". The stretch from base 218 to 371 matches the Rfam family "5.8S ribosomal RNA". Lineage: Eukaryota; Fungi; Ascomycota; Eurotiomycetes; Eurotiales; Aspergillaceae. The record is from RNAcentral.